UACGUAGGGGGCUAGCGUUGCUCGGAAUCACUGGGCGUAAAGCGCACGUAGGCGGCUUUUUAAGUCAGGGGUGAAAUCCUGGAGCUCAACUCCAGAACUGCCUUUGAUACUGAGGAUCUUGAGUUCGGGAGAGGUGAGUGGAACUGCGAGUGUAGAGGUGAAAUUCGUAGAUAUUCGCAAGAACACCAGUGGCGAAGGCGGCUCACUGGCCCGAUACUGACGCUGAGGCACGAAAGCGUGGGGAGCAAACAGG
Molecule: ribosomal RNA, 253 nt
Filed under: uncultured bacterium
Lineage: Bacteria
Description: partial 16S ribosomal RNA
Rfam family: Bacterial small subunit ribosomal RNA
Source: RNAcentral